RNAcentral lists this long non-coding RNA (2153 nucleotides) under Sus scrofa (pig). Its description in RNAcentral is "lncRNA (ENSSSCG00025068999.1)". The record is from RNAcentral. Lineage: Eukaryota; Metazoa; Chordata; Mammalia; Artiodactyla; Suidae.
AUUAAGAUGGCGGAAUAGAAGGAAUGGAGCUCAACUUCUCUCCUAAAAACAACAAAAUUUACAACCAAACGCUAAGCAAUCUCCAACCAAAUGGACCAGAAACUUUCAAAAAGAUAUCCUGCUCCAGAAGACAAAGAGGAGGCCGCAUCAAGAAGGAGGAGGGGCAAUUACAUGAUAUAAGCAACCCCAUACCUCCUGGGUGGUAAGCCCCACAGACUGCAAAGUAACUGGUUCACAGAGACUCACCUACAGGAGUGAGAGUUCUGAGCCCCACAUCAAAUCCCCACUCCUGGGGAUCUGGAGCUGGGAGAAAGAGCCCCUGGAGCAUCUUGCAUUGAAGACCAUGGGGGCUUGUGUACAGGAGCUCCAUGGGACUGGGGGAAAUGGAGACCACAUUCUUAAAAGAUGCACACAGACUUUCAUGUGCCCUGGGUACCAGGGCAAAGCAAAGUCUCCAUAGGAAUCUGGGUCAGACCUGACUGCAGUUUUUGGAGGACCUACUGUGAAAACAGGGGUGAAUGUGGUUUGUUGUGGGGGAAGGACAUUGGAAGAAAAGCUCUUGGGCAUAUUCAUCAGCAUGCCUUUCUCUGGAGGUGGCCAUUUGGGGAAAAUUUGGCCCCACCUAUCAGUGCUGAGAAGCCCCAGAGCAAACAACAAUCCAGGUGGGCUCACAGCCCCACCCAUAAGUAAACAGGCUGCCUAAAUAUCCCCCAGGCACACACCCACCUCUAAUCUCACCCAGAGGCAAAGCCCCACCCACCAGAGGGAUAGGAAUCAGCUCCACCUACCAGUGAGCAGGCAUCACUUCCUCCCAUCAGGAAACCUACAGCAAGACCCCAUACCAACUUCAGCCAUCUGGGGACAGACACCAGAAGUAAGAGAGGCUGCAACUCUACUGUCUGUAAAAAGGUCACCACACCAAAAACCCAUAAAAAUGAAAAGACAGAGAACAAUAACUCAGAUGAGGGAGAAAGAAAUAACCCCAGAAAAUCAGCUAAGUGAUGAGAUUUUCAGCCUCCAGGAAAAAGACUUUAGACUGUUGAUGCUGAAGAUGAUGAAAGACAUUGGAAAUAAACUGGAGGCAAAGAUGGAUAAUUUACAGGAAGCACUGAGCAAGGAGAUACAAGAUAUAAAACUUAAGCAAGAAGAGGUGAAAAAUACAAUAACUGAAAUAAAAAAUUCGUUAGAAGCAGCCAACAGCAGAAGACAGGAGACAGAAGAACGAAUAAGCGAGGUGGAGAAUGGAUUAGUGGAAAUCAUGGAUGCGGAACAGAAAAGAGAAAAAAGAUUGAAAACAAAUGAGAGUUUCAGAGAACUCUGGGGCAAUGUUAAAUGCACCAACUUCCAUAUUAUAGGGGUGCCAGAAGGAGAAGAGAGAGAGAGAAGGGGACGGAAAAAAUAUUCCAAAAGAUAAUAGCCGAAAACUUCCCUCACAUGGGAAAGGAACCAUUCACUCAAAUCCGGGAAGCACAAUGAGUAGCAUAUAAAAUAAACCCAAGGAAGAAUAUCCUGAGACACAUAUUAAUCAAAGUGACCAAAAUUAAAGACAAAGAGAAAAUCUUGAAAGCAGUUAGGGAAAAGAAACAAACAACAUACAAAGGAACCCUGAUAAGAUUAUUGGCAGAUUUUUUUUCAGCAGAAACUCUGCAGGCUAGAAGGGAGUGGCAUGAUAUCCUUAACGUGAUGAAAGGAAAAAACCUCCAACCAAGGUUACUUUACCCAGCAAGGCUCUCAUUCAGACUUGAAGUAGAAACCAAAAGCUUCACAGACAAGCAAAAGCUAAGAGAAUUCAGCAACACUAAACCAGCUUUACAACAAAUAUUAAAGGAACUUCUCUAGGCAGAAAAGAAAAGGCUGCAAUCAGAAACAAAAAUACCACAAAUGACUAGGCUCACCAGUAAAGAUAUGAAACCAUCUAUGCAAAAUUAUGCCACCAAAAUCAGAAAUCAUGAGAAGAUGAGAGUACAAAGGCAGGACACUGGAGAUGCACUUGCAAUUAAGAUACCAACAACUUAAAACAAUCUCUUAUAAAUAUAGACUCAUAUCAAAACUUCAGAAUAACUGCAAACCAAAAAAUCUACAAUUGAUACACAAACAAAUAAGAAAAAUCAACUCAAAUACAACACUAGUCAUCAAACCACAAGAGGAGAGAG